RNAcentral lists this ribosomal RNA (916 nucleotides) under Fulica alai. Its description in RNAcentral is "partial 16S ribosomal RNA". It matches the Rfam family "Bacterial large subunit ribosomal RNA", at positions 848 to 2468 of the family's 2925-position model. The record is from RNAcentral. Lineage: Eukaryota; Metazoa; Chordata; Aves; Gruiformes; Rallidae.
GCUGGUUGCCUGUGAAACGAAUCUAAGUUCUCCCUUAAUUUUACCUCACCUAUAGACUUGAACACUUACCCGUAACAAAUUAAGAGCAAUUUAAAGGAGGAACAGCUCCUUUAAAAAAGAAUACAACCUCCUCCAGAGGAUAAGCACUUAUCCUACAAACUUGUAGGCCUUUAAGCAGCCACCACCAAAGAAUGCGUCAAAGCUCAAUCCCCAAAAAAUCCAAAAGUAAAUGCGACUCCCUCAUCCACAACAGGCUAACCUAUGAAAAAUAGGAGCAUUAAUGCUAAAAUAAGUAACUAAGGAUUAUCCUUCUAAAGCACAAACUUACAUCCUACAUUAUUAACAGGCCUACUAAUACCCUAACCACCACAAGACUAAGUAUUUAACAAUCCUGUUAAACCAACCCAGGAGUGCCCAUCUAGAAAGAUUUAAACCUGUAAAAGGAACUAGGCAAAUUCAAGGCCCGACUGUUUACCAAAAACAUAGCCUUCAGCACACCAAGUAUUGAAGGUGGUGCCUGCCCAGUGACAUUAAGUUUAACGGCCGCGGUAUCCUAACCGUGCAAAGGUAGCGCAAUCAAUUGUCCCAUAAAUCGAGACUUGUAUGAAUGGCCAAACGAGGUCUUAACUGUCUCUUACAGGUAAUCAGUGAAAUUGAUCUCCCUAUGCAAAAGUAGGGAUAAACCCAUAAGACGAGAAGACCCUGUGGAACUUAAAAACCAGCAGCCACUCUAAACUAAACCAAAGCCCACCAGGCUCACUACCAUAGACAAUUGGCUCGCAUUUUUCGGUUGGGGCGACCUUGGAGAAAAAAACAUCCUCCAAAAAUAAGACCACCCCUCUUAACCAAGACCAACUAUUCAACGUACCAAUAGUAACCAGACCCAGCAUAAGCUGAUCAAUGAACCAAGCUACCC